This 253-nucleotide ribosomal RNA is filed under the name uncultured bacterium. Its description in RNAcentral is "partial 16S ribosomal RNA". It matches the Rfam family "Bacterial small subunit ribosomal RNA", at positions 524 to 776 of the family's 1533-position model. The record is from RNAcentral.
UACGGGGGGGGCAAGCGUUGUUCGGAAUUACUGGGCGUAAAGGGCUCGUAGGCGGCCAAGUAAGUCAGACGUGAAAUCCCUCGGCUUAACCGGGGAACUGCGUCUGAUACUGGAUGGCUUGAGAUUGGGAGAGGGAUGCGGAAUUCCAGGUGUAGCGGUGAAAUGCGUAGAUAUCUGGAGGAACACCGGUGGCGAAGGCGGCAUCCUGGACCAACACUGACGCUGAUGAGCGAAAGCCAGGGGAGCAAACGGG